This 69-nucleotide transfer RNA is filed under the name Ardea modesta (Eastern great egret). RNAcentral's name for it is "tRNA-Ala". It matches the Rfam family "tRNA". Rfam says of the family: Transfer RNA (tRNA) molecules are approximately 80 nucleotides in length. Their secondary structure includes four short double-helical elements and three loops (D, anti-codon, and T loops). Lineage: Eukaryota; Metazoa; Chordata; Aves; Pelecaniformes; Ardeidae. The record is from RNAcentral.
AAGGCCCUAGCUUAGUUAAAGCGUCUGGGUUGCAUUCAGGAGAUGCAAGUUAAUAUCUUGCGGGUCUUA